Molecule: long non-coding RNA, 5006 nt
Organism: Rhineura floridana
Lineage: Eukaryota; Metazoa; Chordata; Lepidosauria; Squamata; Rhineuridae
Exons: 8
Source: RefSeq, a predicted model, not a curated record
UGUCGGAGUUCUUCAUUCCUGUUUGCUGCCUUACUAGAACUGUGUUGGCUGUAAACCUCUGUGUCCUGUGUAGCAAGCUAAUUCUGCCUUGCCUGUGCAGACUAGAGCUCAACAAAGGGUUAUGGGCCCAGUCAUUGCAGCUGACACAAUGAUCCUGUGAGGUUGUGCAACAGGCAGAGAAUUAGACAGUGCAAAAGAACUGAACAGCCAAGAAGCGUGAAAAGGAUGGCAGUGUUUGGAAGUGCGUCUUAUCCCUUGGAAAGGCUGGGAAGCACCAACUACUCCUACUGGAAGGUAAAGACUGAAAUGCUGCUGGUGAAGGAGGGUGUCUGGCACACUGUUGCAGAAGACCCCCCAGCAGCCCCACCGGCAGAGUGGAUAAGAGCAGCAGAGAAAGCUAAAGCUCUGCUUAUCCUAGCUCUGGAGAACGAACAGUUAAUACAUGUCAGUGGCUUAAACACAGCAAAGGAAGUUUGGAAUGUUUUACGUGCUGUACAUGUGAGAAAAACUGCAGGCUCUAAAGUUUUACUUGCUAAAAGACUGUACCAGACCCGUUACAAAGAGGGAGAGUCCAUGCAGAGGCAUUUACAGAACUUACAACGUUUGUUUGCCAACCUGCAAGAAAUGGACAUGCAGCAUACACAGGAACAGAUGGCAUAUAUUACGCUGUCUACUCUAAAUGAUUCCUGGGAAGGAGUGAUAAGUGCGUUAGAAAGUCUUCCAGAUGCGGACCUCAGCAUGACGUACAUCACAAACGAACUACUUCAAGAAGCAGAACGCCAACAAGAGAAAAGUAAACAGAGCAACAAAGAAAACCCGGAGCGGAAUGCGCAAGGACCGAAGGCGUAUGGAGUGAAACGUUGCUACAGAUGCGGCUCCACAACUCAUCUACGCAGUCAAUGCCAGGCAGAGACGAAAAGAAGAUUGCAAUAAAGCGAGAAAGACCUGUUUAAAGUGCAUGUCGUUGGCACUAAAGACAAGGACAAUGAACUGCAAAACACAUCCUGGGCUGUAGACUCGGGAGCAAGUCAUUUUCUAGUAAAUAAUGAAAAACAGUUUAAAAUCCUGACCCCAACAAAGAACCAGGAAGUUUAUUUGGCGGAUGGAAGCUGUCGGCAAGUUAAAGGGGGGAUGGGAGGCAAAUAAAUUUUGUAGCUGAACGGCCCAUGAAAAACCUUUCCUCAAAGCAAUGCUUUGGACGACAAUGAACACUCACUGACUGCUGCAGUGGUAAUGUUUUCCAUUUCUGACCACAGAGAGUGAUGAAUUGAAAAACAAGCUGCACUCCCAAAAAGAAGGAUGAAAAUAAUCACAAAAAUUCAACCUCCCAUAUGGUGAAAGCCGAGAACUGUAUUGCAAAAUUCAGAGAAGUGUGAAAACUCAAGGAUAACUGCAUCCCGAUCCAUGCAUUAGUUCAGAAAGUGUGAAUCAGGUUGGAUCCCUUAAAAAUGUGGACCAGAUGAAAUCCUUACCUGGUGAGGGCAGUUGAUCUCCUUUCCCUAUUCAGUGGCACUGAGUGGCAGAAGAUGGCAGCCUGCAAUAAACUGCCACAGCAUCUGCCUAUGUCUCUUUCACACAGGAAGCAUCAAUCAGUUUGAAAAUGAAAAUGGACUGCCUUCAAGUCGCUUCCGACCUAUGGUGACCUUAUGAAUAGGGUUUUCAUGCACAGCAAAGAAAAGGCUGGUCUCCAGGGUGAUUUUCCACUCUAAGGUUUUUUUAUGGCUUGAAUUGUCACUGGAAACUUUUUAAGGAGAAGGAAAUCAUUACUCAGGAUUGCAGUCCUCCUAGCGAGUAAAUCCUAUUGAACAAGUUGUAGUGAUGACUUUGGACAGACAGUGGAGAGAAGCUUCCUUGUUCCCUGGAUUACAGCGCAUUUUACCCAGGCAAUGAGGGGCUCAGCUGCUUCUAUUCUCCUCCAGAAAUGCAGACAGCGACUAUUUCUUCAAGACAUUUACUUAGCCUGCCUUGACAGCCCCAGGCUUUUGGCAUCCCAGACAGAUGCUUCGUUUGCUUCUAUGGUUGGGCCAAUCCUGAAGAAGCUUGUAAAACCUCUCGCUCAGGCCAUCUCUGAAACGGUGUCUGCCUAAGUUUUACACAUGACAUUGUUAAUUCAAAUGUGAAGCACUUACAUCACAAGCUGUUUGCCCAGCUAGAGCUUGUGAGGGCAAAACUAGAUGCGACGCCAUCUUUGCAAAUAGCAAUUGCAUGAAUGGAUAUUUUAUUUUGUUUUGAAAGUAAAUGGUUUGGAUCAGGGCAUACACACACUUUGGUCCUAGCUGAACUUAAUUGUACAAUCGUUUAGGUUUGGGCUUUAUCUAUGAGAAGCCUCAAUUUUGGUCAAGAUCAUAUUCAGGGACAAAAUUUCAGCUGGAGAACAGCCAAUGGUGUGGAACAGCCUUAGAUGCUGCUGGAAAGGAAAUGGCAUUAAUAUCUUUUAAAGGAGGAUUCAGUAAUUUUCUAAUGAACACGAACAAGGAUUAUAGAAAAAUUCAUUUGAAUGAUUAAAUUCAAACAUGAGCGGAACAGCAAAGCAACUGCUCAGAAUAAUUUUCACCAGGCACUGAACACUGUCGCUUUAGUGUGAGAGGAUCUAUUGUUUGUGCUUAAUUAUAUAAACAAUGCCAGGACACUUGUAACAAUUGUAUUUAGUAGGGCAUUGUUUUUAUGCUGUCCAGACAAUGCUGUUCUUGGCUGGCAGAUUAUGCACAUUGCUAAUAAAUAAAUAAAAAUAAUGGAAAAUUGAAGGAAAUACUUUCAGAAUUAGUGUUGUUCUUAACUGAAAGCCUUCCAUUUUUAUUGUGCUAGAGAAGCCAAAUGUGCAUUCAGUUUUUAAAAAAAUGUGCCCCAAAUUGUCCACAGUAUGGGGCCAAAGUGAUUCCAUUAAUCAAAUGCGUAAGGUGAGAUGGUCAAAGGGCCACCUCUCUCUGUUGGACAUGCCAGCCCAUACGCACCUGAACCCAUUAGAAGUUGGCCAUUUGUUACAAAAUGUUUGGUACUCAGCUGCAAAUACUCAUGUGCAAAUGCCCAUCUUUUCCUUUCAAAGUACAAUGGAAGUGCUAGGAAAAGAUUAGGCUGUACUUCUGCAUAUUUUGAUGAGAAGAGCUGCUGUUGCCAAACAUAUCUCAUGAUUCAUGUAUAAUAUUUUUUAACUGCAGGGACCACAAUAAAGAAUCGUAGGCAUGUUAUGGGCAGCUAAAAAGUCAAGAAUACACAUGGUUAAGCUACCCUCCAUCAUAAGGUUGCUGAUGGUAGCCUAGAAAGACUCCAGUGAACUCUUACCUAGGCAUCUUAGUGAUCACCUACUACACAUUGGAUUGGGUAUUCCCAACAAAUGCAGCAGAAUGAAGUGGUGGAGUGGGCGUACCCCUUCAGACUGCAGGUCCCAAGACCCUGGCAAGUUCUCGAGGCUUAGUGAACUGACUGCUCCCUGACUAAAGCUGCCUUCCUCAGAUCUGCUGGGUAAUACAAGGUGUAAGGAUGUAUCUGACGAAGAGCACACAGAGGAUGACAGAGUUGCUGAAAUGGACUGGAGAGGUGUCAAAGUGGUGUCCGAUGGAGAGGUGCAAGUCACAAAUUGCAAAUGAUCUUUCUGGAUUACAUGGUAGUGGGAGGGGGAAUAUUCAAGGCCUGAAGUAUAAUAAAAUUCACCAUCUGUAGAAUUUUGAAUGUGGGAUUCAGUUCUUUGUGGACUGCUACCCACAGAGGUUGGAUCCAUGUUCCAGAUGCCGGCUAUUGUGUUAGAAUGGCAGAGUUUCGCUUUGGUGCAAGUAACAUUUGGAACCUGCAUAUGCAUACAUGGUUGAUGUGUAGUCCAAGUCAUUCUAGUCUGUAAGCUUUCCAUACUGGGACUCAAGGCCUUGCCAUGCACUGCACAAAACUCUGGGGACUUCUGUGCCACUAAUAGGCUUUCCAAGAGCUGCAUCACAUUCUUCAUGUCCUUACUUAACUGAGAGACCUCUUGAGUCAAAGCAGUGACCUGAAAUAUUAAAAAACAAUCAUAUUUAUACAACAUUAUUCAAACUAAAAUGAAUUGGUGGAAUCUAACUGAAACCUUUGAAUUCGGGGAAGGGUUUUUGAUCUAGUGGAUGUGUCUACUAAUGGAAGAGGAGGGAGACCAUUUUUGCUAAUUCCCUCUCUCCCCUGCAGUCUCUAGAAAUUGGCCUUAGAGAGUUGGAGAACCUUUUAGAUCAGGGUGGAAGGUGGUGUGGAGGAUUGCAGGGGAAUGGGUGAAAUGACAAAAAUUGCCUCCCAUCUUCUAUUAGUGGCACCAUCUGCUGGAUCAAAAGCCCUUCCAUGAGUGCAAGGACACCAACAGGAUUCCACCCAAUACUCAGAAGGCAAUUCAUUCUGGAUUAUGUUCCCAGUUUCAUAACUUAAUCCAUCUCUCUUGUUCCAGUUGCAAAUUUCUCAUUAAAAACUUAAAGAGGUAAGUUACUUUCUUAAGAAAAUAAAUUAAUCAACUGGUGUUCUGCAUAUUUGUGCAAAUGUACUUUACUAACUGUGUGCCACAGAAGUACUAAUAAACGAUCUGCUUUGAGUUAAAUUAAAGCAAACUGUGUGGCCAAAAUUCUUCAAAGGGGGGUAAGGCAGAAGAUUCAAGAAACCAGACCUAAGUUUUGAGUUAACUGAAUUAUUUCAGAACCAAAAGCACUGCAUUACAGAGGGCAGAUAAUCUGCAAAUAAAAGUAAUUCCCAAAUAUUUGUUUGUUUAUUCUACCUACUAACUAAAGUUCUCAAGGUGGCAAUGUUUGUUAGGGAAAGGGACACAUUACAGCUGAACUAUACAUUCCAUUAAAAGUGUUUUAACUAAUGUGCUUAGAACUGGCUACAUCUCUUCUUUUUAGAAAAGCAACUGUGCCCCCACAAUGUGUAACAUUCCUUCUGCAUCCUUUUCUCACUGAAAUCCAAGCUGUUUUUUGCUCUCCAAAGUGCCAUUUCCAUCAACUAGCAGAUUCAGGGACCAAUUUUCAGUGGGAAUACCAUGCAAGGGAAAGAAUUCAACAACA